AUGUCCGGGGUUGAGCCCGGAUUUCCGGGGCUGUCUGUCCAGAACCGAGCAGAUUUGGCGCUCCAGGAGCCGGAUGUCCGGCUUGGGGCCCGGAUGUCCGGCCUGAGGCCCGGAUGUCCGGCCCGACGAUUCCAGAUCGGGAUUUGGACUUCGAAACUCGAUUUUGGGUGGAAAUGGAUGAUUUCAAGAGCAAAAUUUGAUGGAUUUUGUGGAGGGAAAGUGCGGAAACUUGGGGGAAAGCUAGAUCCACUUGAAACCAAGCAAAUCCAUGGAUCAAAAUCAACAAAACAUCAUCAAACCAACAAAUCACAAAAAAAUUUGGGGCUAUUUUUGGUGGAAAUUUUCGGAUUUAGGCAAGAACACACAAAAUCAAGCUAG
This 378-nucleotide ribosomal RNA is filed under the name Triticum aestivum (bread wheat). RNAcentral describes it as "partial small subunit ribosomal RNA". The record is from RNAcentral. Lineage: Eukaryota; Viridiplantae; Streptophyta; Magnoliopsida; Poales; Poaceae.